UACGAAGGGGGCUAGCGUUGCUCGGAAUCACUGGGCGUAAAGGGUGCGUAGGCGGGUCUUUAAGUCAGGGGUGAAAUCCUGGAGCUCAACUCCAGAACUGCCUUUGAUACUGAAGAUCUUGAGUUCGGGAGAGGUGAGUGGAACUGCGAGUGUAGAGGUGAAAUUCGUAGAUAUUCGCAAGAACACCGAUGGCGAAGGCACUCUACUGGGCUAUUACUGACACUCAGAGACGAAAGCUAGGGGAGCAAAUGGG
This 253-nucleotide ribosomal RNA is filed under the name uncultured bacterium. RNAcentral's name for it is "partial 16S ribosomal RNA". It matches the Rfam family "Bacterial small subunit ribosomal RNA", at positions 524 to 776 of the family's 1533-position model. The record is from RNAcentral.